Molecule: ribosomal RNA, 426 nt
Filed under: uncultured bacterium
Lineage: Bacteria
Description: bacterial SSU rRNA
Rfam family: Bacterial small subunit ribosomal RNA
Source: RNAcentral
CGCAAGCCUGAUCCAGCCAUGCCGCGUGCAGGAUGAAGGCCUUCGGGUUGUAAACUGCUUUUGUACGGAACGAAAAGGUUUGGCCUAAUAAGCUGAGCUCAUGACGGUACCGUAAGAAUAAGCACCGGCUAACUACGUGCCAGCAGCCGCGGUAAUACGUAGGGUGCGAGCGUUAAUCGGAAUUACUGGGCGUAAAAGCGUGCGCAGGCGGUUAUGUAAGACAGAUGUGAAAUCCCCGGGCUCAACCUGGGAACUGCAUUAGUGACUGCAUAGCUGGAGUACGGCAGAGGGGGAUGGAAUUCCGCGUGUAGCAGUGAAAUGCGUAGAUAUGCGGAGGAACACCGAUGGCGAAGGCAAUCCCCUGGGCCUGUACUGACGCUCAUGCACGAAAGCGUGGGGAGCAAACAGGAUUAGAUACCCUGGUAG